This 528-nucleotide ribosomal RNA is filed under the name uncultured bacterium. RNAcentral describes it as "bacterial SSU rRNA". It matches the Rfam family "Bacterial small subunit ribosomal RNA", at positions 355 to 899 of the family's 1533-position model. The record is from RNAcentral.
UGGGGAAUCUUGGACAAUGGGCGCAAGCCUGAUCCAGCCAUGCCGCGUGAGCGAUGAAGGCCUUAGGGUUGUAAAGCUCUUUCACCGGUGAAGAUAAUGACGGUAGCCGGAGAAGAAGCCCCGGCUAACUCCGUGCCAGCAGCCGCGGUAAUACGGAGGGGGUUAGCGUUGUUCGGAAUUACUGGGCGUAAAGCGCACGUAGGCGGACCAGAAAGUUGGGGGUGAAAUCCCGGGGGCUCAACCCCGGAACUGCCUCCAAAACUAUUGGUCUAGAGUUCGAGAGAGGUGAGUGGAAUUCCAAGUGUAGAGGUGAAAUUCGUAGAUAUUUGGAGGAACACCAGUGGCGAAGGCGGCUCACUGGCUCGAUACUGACGCUGAGGUGCGAAAGUGUGGGGAGCAAACAGGAUUAGAUACCCUGGUAGUCCACACCGUAAAACGAUGAAUGCCAGUCGUCGGAUAGCAUGCUAUUCGGUGACACACCUAACGGAUUAAGCAUUCCGCCUGGGGAGUACGGUCGCAAGAUUAAAA